GCGCUGGGUUAAGCAGCACAUCUACUCAAACUGGAACUAGAGAGAAGAUGAGCAUGGCUCCUAUGCAAGGAUGGCAUGUGAAUUCACGAAGCAUUCCGUAUUUUU
Small nuclear RNA from Myodes glareolus (Bank vole), 105 nucleotides. NCBI's taxonomy places the organism in Eukaryota, Metazoa, Chordata, Mammalia, Rodentia, Cricetidae. The record is from RefSeq and is a predicted model, not a curated record.